AAAAACUUUAUUGAACACUUCUAUAUGUCUAUGGAGAAUUGUGCUAGCCCAUACAUGGAUGGGGGUUUGAUCUGGGACAACUACAAGCUCCACUUCAGGCCAAGGUUGGGGGUGAGGGGCAGAAUCAGGCAGAGCGCGUCCAAGGGUGGACUGGCAGAGCAUGACCCAACUCGGAGCCAGAGUGCCUGGGGCCAGACCUGGGGCAAAGAGCAGAGGCCCCACCCCGGAGCUCAGGGGACUGAGAGAGGGUGCCAAAGGCUGGUCCUUGGUCAGUGCAUCCCCCCCCCUUGAGCUCUCUGCCCCAAGCUGGGCAGGAUGUGGUGGCAGCUGCAGUAGGGUGGGCAGGAUGUGGGGGUGGGGGCAGCUGAAAAGCAGCGUUACAGUCGUCUCCACAGCUCCUCCCUCCUCCUCUCCCCCCCCCACUGCCCCCUCCCAGUCACGUGCUCCCAGCUUGGGCACCAGCGGACUAUUUCCCUCUCUCUGGCGGAAGGACAUAAUUGACAGCGCAUACUAGACUUACAAUCGACUUCAGCUGCACCACGCCUUUUUCUGUAGCCCAGGACAGAAAGUUUGCCGAACACAAAUUUCUUUAAAGCCCUGAGAGGCUAACUCGGGAGUGGCUCCUUUAAAUGCAAAUAACCCACCUUCUUUCCCGGCUUCCCCACCCCCAUUCCAACUUUGCUCCUCGUGCCCGGACUCCGCCAGCUGCCAUUGACGUCACGCGUGCGUCAGCGUCGCCAGCCCAACCAGACGGCACGUGGGGGGAAGAAGGGUAUGUUGUAAGCCAGGGCUUUCCAUUCCGUUUCAGAAGCUUGAAUAUUUGCGUCUGGGAGAGAGACCUGGCGCGGGAAGAACAGAGCAAUUCUGAAGGUAAAGGAAGCUUAGUAUUUAAGACUGACGAUUUCUGUCUUUUCCUUAUUCCUGCCAUGCAUGUCCACAAAUGCAAGACUUCGUUCACUUUUGUCUCUGGCACCUGGAACAGAGCAUAUAGUAGGUACUCAUUUGAGUAUUUACAGAAUAAGGGUAUUAGACUUUGGAGUCCCUGUCUAAGUCUCCUUUAA
This 1061-nucleotide long non-coding RNA is filed under the name Cavia porcellus (domestic guinea pig). RNAcentral's name for it is "lncRNA (ENSCPOG00000036568.1)". Lineage: Eukaryota; Metazoa; Chordata; Mammalia; Rodentia; Caviidae. The record is from RNAcentral.